Molecule: ribosomal RNA, 601 nt
Filed under: Phaeosphaeria pontiformis
Lineage: Eukaryota; Fungi; Ascomycota; Dothideomycetes; Pleosporales; Phaeosphaeriaceae
Description: eukaryotic LSU rRNA
Rfam family: 5.8S ribosomal RNA (bases 247-400)
Source: RNAcentral
GAAGUAAAAGUCGUAACAAGGUUUCCGUAGGUGAACCUGCGGAAGGAUCAUUACAAUUCAGUAGCUUGCUACUGUCGGGAGGCGCUGUAAGUCCGCAUAGUUUAAUUACUGAUGAGCGGCAGGCCCUCUGUCUGUACCCUUGUCUUUUGCGCACUCAUGUUUCCUCGGCGGGCUUGCCCGCCGAUUGGACAAAACUAUAACCUUUUUUAAUUUUCAAUCAGCGUCUGAAAAAAACUUAAUAAUUACAACUUUCAACAACGGAUCUCUUGGUUCUGGCAUCGAUGAAGAACGCAGCGAAAUGCGAUAAGUAGUGUGAAUUGCAGAAUUCAGUGAAUCAUCGAAUCUUUGAACGCACAUUGCGCCCCUUGGUAUUCCAUGGGGCAUGCCUGUUCGAGCGUCAUUUGUACCCUCAAGCUCUGCUUGGUGUUGGGUGUUUGUCCUCUCCUUUGCGUUUGGACUCGCCUUAAAGCAAUUGGCAGCCAGUGUUUUGGUAUUGAAGCGCAGCACAUUUUGCGAUUCUAGCCGAUAAUACUUGCGUCCAUAAGCCUUUUUUAACUUUUGACCUCGGAUCAGGUAGGGAUACCCGCUGAACUUAAGCAUA